UGCGGUAAUAGUCUAGCGGCAGGACAGGGGCUUCCCAAGCCCUUAGCCCGGGUUCGAUCCCCGGUUACCGCAU
RNAcentral lists this transfer RNA (73 nucleotides) under Euryarchaeota archaeon ADurb.Bin165. RNAcentral describes it as "tRNA-Gly". It matches the Rfam family "tRNA". From Rfam's summary of the family: Transfer RNA (tRNA) molecules are approximately 80 nucleotides in length. Their secondary structure includes four short double-helical elements and three loops (D, anti-codon, and T loops). RNAcentral also lists the same sequence under 2 other names. Lineage: Archaea; Methanobacteriati; Methanobacteriota. The record is from RNAcentral.